Molecule: ribosomal RNA, 489 nt
Filed under: Bacteroides thetaiotaomicron
Lineage: Bacteria; Pseudomonadati; Bacteroidota; Bacteroidia; Bacteroidales; Bacteroidaceae
Description: bacterial SSU rRNA
Rfam family: Bacterial small subunit ribosomal RNA
Source: RNAcentral
AGAGUUUGAUCCUGGCUCAGGAUGAACGCUAGCUACAGGCUUAACACAUGCAAGUCGAGGGGCAGCAUUUCAGUUUGCUUGCAAACUGGAGAUGGCGACCGGCGCACGGGUGAGUAACACGUAUCCAACCUGCCGAUAACUCGGGGAUAGCCUUUCGAAAGAAAGAUUAAUACCCGAUGGUAUAAUUAGACCGCAUGGUCUUGUUAUUAAAGAAUUUCGGUUAUCGAUGGGGAUGCGUUCCAUUAGGCAGUUGGUGAGGUAACGGCUCACCAAACCUUCGAUGGAUAGGGGUUGUGAGAGGAAGGUCCCCCACAUUGGAACUGAGACACGGUCCAAACUCCUACGGGAGGCAGCAGUGAGGAAUAUUGGUCAAUGGGCGCAGGCCUGAACCAGCCAAGUAGCGUGAAGGAUGACUGCCCUAUGGGUUGUAAACUUCUUUUAUAUGGGAAUAAAGUUUUCCACGUGUGGAAUUUUGUAUGUACCAUAUGA